CGCGGGAUGGAGCAGUUUGGUAGCUCGUCGGGCUCAUAACCCGAAGGUCGGGGGUUCAAAUCCCUCUCCCGCAACCA
Molecule: transfer RNA, 77 nt
Filed under: Desulfuromonas sp.
Lineage: Bacteria; Pseudomonadati; Thermodesulfobacteriota; Desulfuromonadia; Desulfuromonadales; Desulfuromonadaceae
Description: tRNA-Met
Rfam family: tRNA
About the family: Transfer RNA (tRNA) molecules are approximately 80 nucleotides in length. Their secondary structure includes four short double-helical elements and three loops (D, anti-codon, and T loops).
Source: RNAcentral